Long non-coding RNA from Manis pentadactyla (Chinese pangolin), 840 nucleotides. RefSeq lists it as uncharacterized. The record is from RefSeq and is a predicted model, not a curated record. The transcript is spliced from 4 exons. Lineage: Eukaryota; Metazoa; Chordata; Mammalia; Pholidota; Manidae.
CCCUACUCAUUAAGAAUUAUAAAUUGGCUAUAAGCACAGAUGUAUAAGUAAAAUCUAAGGAAAAGUAUAAGAGGAAAGUUGUCAAUUGUCCAGAUUACAAAUGCUGAAAGAUUUCAAAGAUAUAUUGACCACCAAGAGUUGGCAUAUUUAAGAAAGACUUCUCAGAGAUCAAGACUCAACCUGAGGGAAAGUCAUCUGCAAACCAGGAAGGGGACCCGCAUCAAACGCCAGAUCUGCAGGCACCUUGAUCUUGGACUUCUCAGUCUCCAGAACUGGUUCCUGAAGUGCUAGUAAGAUAUGAAGAAUGUUCUGGAGUCCAAUGACACAGAUUCAUGAAGAGAGAGCAUGAGGCAAAUUCUCUUGGAAACAGUCUAGUCUUUUCAUAGGCAUUCACCAAGACCAUCAAUGGGUCUAACUCAGUGUGAAAAUCACCUGCAAGCUUACUGUCCAUGUGUGCACUGAGGCAAUGAGGAAGUCACAUAUGCAUGGAUGGAUGGAUGGACAAUAGCAAGAUGGUAGGACAGAUGGAUGGAUGGCUGCAUGGAACAACUCUUGAUUUAGAGAUGACUACUUCAAGCUACCACUAGCUCUGCUAGGCUUUGGCUUCAUUGCAAGUUUAAUUUCACAAAAUGAAGGAUUACUUUUUAACCACAGUCUCACAGUUGCAUCUUGAUAAAAGGCAAAUAAAAUAAAAACCAUCCAUAACAGACUGGAACACUGUCUCAGAAGAAACUUGCUGCACCCACGAGUUAUAUUCCUUCUGAGUGUGUGGAAAGAUUUCUGCCCACUGCUUUUCCCUUUCCCUACAUGUCACUGUUUCUUCUUUGAGGGAUUAUCUGA